This 1262-nucleotide ribosomal RNA is filed under the name Staphylococcus epidermidis. RNAcentral describes it as "bacterial SSU rRNA". It matches the Rfam family "Bacterial small subunit ribosomal RNA", at positions 104 to 1349 of the family's 1533-position model. Lineage: Bacteria; Bacillati; Bacillota; Bacilli; Caryophanales; Staphylococcaceae. The record is from RNAcentral.
GGGUGAGUAACACGUGGAUAACCUACCUAUAAGACUGGGAUAACUUCGGGAAACCGGAGCUAAUACCGGAUAAUAUAUUGAACCGCAUGGUUCAAUAGUGAAAGACGGUUUUGCUGUCACUUAUAGAUGGAUCCGCGCCGCAUUAGCUAGUUGGUAAGGUAACGGCUUACCAAGGCAACGAUGCGUAGCCGACCUGAGAGGGUGAUCGGCCACACUGGAACUGAGACACGGUCCAGACUCCUACGGGAGGCAGCAGUAGGGAAUCUUCCGCAAUGGGCGAAAGCCUGACGGAGGAACGCCGCGUGAGUGAUGAAGGUCUUCGGAUCGUAAAACUCUGUUAUUAGGGAAGAACAAAUGUGUAAGUAACUAUGCACGUCUUGACGGUACCUAAUCAGAAAGCCACGGCUAACUACGUGCCAGCAGCCGCGGUAAUACGUAGGUGGCAAGCGUUAUCCGGAAUUAUUGGGCGUAAAGCGCGCGUAGGCCGGUUUUUUUAAGUCUGAUGUGAAAGCCCACGGCUCAACCGUGGAGGGGUCAUUGGAAACUGGAAAACUUGAGUGCAGAAGAGGAAAGUGGAAUUCCAUGUGUAGCGGUGAAAUGCGCAGAGAUAUGGAGGAACACCAGUGGCGAAGGCGACUUUCUGGUCUGUAACUGACGCUGAUGUGCGAAAGCGUGGGGAUCAAACAGGAUUAGAUACCCUGGUAGUCCACGCCGUAAACGAUGAGUGCUAAGUGUUAGGGGGUUUCCGCCCCUUAGUGCUGCAGCUAACGCAUUAAGCACUCCGCCUGGGGAGUACGACCGCAAGGUUGAAACUCAAAGGAAUUGACGGGGACCCGCACAAGCGGUGGAGCAUGUGGUUUAAUUCGAAGCAACGCGAAGAACCUUACCAAAUCUUGACAUCCUCUGACCCCUCUAGAGAUAGAGUUUUCCCCUUCGGGGGACAGAGUGACAGGUGGUGCAUGGUUGUCGUCAGCUCGUGUCGUGAGAUGUUGGGUUAAGUCCCGCAACGAGCGCAACCCUUAAGCUUAGUUGCCAUCAUUAAGUUGGGCACUCUAAGUUGACUGCCGGUGACAAACCGGAGGAAGGUGGGGAUGACGUCAAAUCAUCAUGCCCCUUAUGAUUUGGGCUACACACGUGCUACAAUGGACAAUACAAAGGGCAGCGAAACCGCGAGGUCAAGCAAAUCCCAUAAAGUUGUUCUCAGUUCGGGAUUGUAGUCUGCAACUCGACUAUAUGAAGCUGGAAUCGCUAGAAUCGUAGAU